This 526-nucleotide ribosomal RNA is filed under the name uncultured bacterium. RNAcentral's name for it is "bacterial SSU rRNA". It matches the Rfam family "Bacterial small subunit ribosomal RNA", at positions 338 to 859 of the family's 1533-position model. The record is from RNAcentral.
CCUACGGGAGGCAGCAGUGGGGAAUUUUGGACAAUGGGCGCAAGCCUGAUCCAGCAAUGCCGCGUGAGUGAAGAAGGCCUUCGGGUUGUAAAGCUCUUUUGUCAGGGAAGAAACGGUGGGAGCUAAUAUCUCCUGCUAAUGACGGUACCUGAAGAAUAAGCACCGGCUAACUACGUGCCAGCAGCCGCGGUAAUACGUAGGGUGCAAGCGUUAAUCGGAAUUACUGGGCGUAAAGCGUGCGCAGGCGGUUUUGUAAGUCUGAUGUGAAAUCCCCGGGCUCAACCUGGGAAUUGCAUUGGAGACUGCAAGGCUAGAAUCUGGCAGAGGGGGGUAGAAUUCCACGUGUAGCAGUGAAAUGCGUAGAUAUGUGGAGGAACACCGAUGGCGAAGGCAGCCCCCUGGGUCAAGAUUGACGCUCAUGCACGAAGACGGUGGGAGGACGAACAAGGAGUAGUAUACCUACGGUAGUCCGACCGACCCGUAAACCGAACUAGUCUACUAGUUAGUUCGGGUUCGUUAUUAGUAC